RNAcentral lists this ribosomal RNA (697 nucleotides) under Escherichia coli. RNAcentral's name for it is "partial 23S ribosomal RNA". It matches the Rfam family "Bacterial large subunit ribosomal RNA", at positions 493 to 1191 of the family's 2925-position model. The record is from RNAcentral. Lineage: Bacteria; Pseudomonadati; Pseudomonadota; Gammaproteobacteria; Enterobacterales; Enterobacteriaceae.
AACCAGUACCGUGAGGGAAAGGCGAAAAGAACCCCGGCGAGGGGAGUGAAAAAGAACCUGAAACCGUGUACGUACAAGCAGUGGGAGCCUCUUUUAUGGGGUGACUGCGUACCUUUUGUAUAAUGGGUCAGCGACUUAUAUUCUGUAGCAAGGUUAACCGAAUAGGGGAGCCGAAGGGAAACCGAGUCUUAACUGGGCGUUAAGUUGCAGGGUAUAGACCCGAAACCCGGUGAUCUAGCCAUGGGCAGGUUGAAGGUUGGGUAACACUAACUGGAGGACCGAACCGACUAAUGUUGAAAAAUUAGCGGAUGACUUGUGGCUGGGGGUGAAAGGCCAAUCAAACCGGGAGAUAGCUGGUUCUCCCCGAAAGCUAUUUAGGUAGCGCCUCGUGAAUUCAUCUCCGGGGGUAGAGCACUGUUUCGGCAAGGGGGUCAUCCCGACUUACCAACCCGAUGCAAACUGCGAAUACCGGAGAAUGUUAUCACGGGAGACACACGGCGGGUGCUAACGUCCGUCGUGAAGAGGGAAACAACCCAGACCGCCAGCUAAGGUCCCAAAGUCAUGGUUAAGUGGGAAACGAUGUGGGAAGGCCCAGACAGCCAGGAUGUUGGCUUAGAAGCAGCCAUCAUUUAAAGAAAGCGUAAUAGCUCACUGGUCGAGUCGGCCUGCGCGGAAGAUGUAACGGGGCUAAACCAUG